This is a long non-coding RNA of Thunnus maccoyii (southern bluefin tuna), 947 nucleotides long. RefSeq lists it as uncharacterized. NCBI's taxonomy places the organism in Eukaryota, Metazoa, Chordata, Actinopteri, Scombriformes, Scombridae. The transcript has 4 exons. The record is from RefSeq and is a predicted model, not a curated record.
CACUCUCUCAUUUACCAGUGGGCACUAGACGGAGACACGGAGAAACAUGGUGAUGGUGUGAGAUGGCAUUUCUCCAUAUUUGCCAUGCAGCAGUCACACUGUGCUGAUCCUGCAUGUAGUCUGGCUCCAGUCAAGCGCAGCGCUGUCCAAGGUGAACCGCAUCAGACCAAGGUCGCCACCUAGCGGAGAUAUUGACGCCUGUUCUGCCACCAAAAUUGGAUUAAAGAACAAGCAUGAGCAUGACCUCCUUAACAUUACAUGGUCUUCUAUUGCUCCCGUGAGAUGUGCCCAUUGCAGCGGGAGGCAGGCAACCUUUCAAUGAUCUUCAGAGGUUAUUGUCACUGAGUGGGCAGGUUAGGUCGUUCUGCAUCACCACACACUGCUGCCAGUGACUACAGAUAGGUUUGCACAUCCACAACCAGCACAUUUUUUAAUAUCUGGUCCUGUAUUGUGACUCAUUUAGAGGGGAAUUUGGCCUUUACAGAUUACAGAGACAGUUAUUCAGCUGGGAAAGAUUCACCCUGCUGAAGUGUCCUUGGGCAAGUCAUUGGAUCCCCAUCAGCUCUAGGACUGCUGAUCCUUUCUGAGGGUGGGAAGCCAAAACAGAAUUUCAUCACAUGAAUCAAAAAAAUGCCACUCAAAUGAAGAGGGAGAGUAGUGUUUUUAUACAUUACAGAUCGAGAGAGGACAGCUAUGGAGUUAGUAAGAAUUUGGCUGAUUUGGAAAUGGAGAGGAGAGGUGUGUGUAGGGUGUUUAUGAGGGUCUCUUGGUGUGCCAUACUGUGCUUUUGUGGGGUUAUGGUCUCUCCUGCAAAAGCAUCUCGUCCAGCGUAAUGACACAGACAAAGCAUCUGGUGCUCCAAUGAAAUUGGCCAAUUUACCCCCGAACAUCGAUUGUCCAAAACUACAUCCCCAGAUGAAAGGCACUUUCCCCUGUUCUCCCCUGAC